This 497-nucleotide ribosomal RNA is filed under the name uncultured bacterium. RNAcentral's name for it is "partial 16S ribosomal RNA". It matches the Rfam family "Bacterial small subunit ribosomal RNA", at positions 28 to 507 of the family's 1533-position model. The record is from RNAcentral.
GAUGAACGCUGGCGGCGUGCCUAAUACAUGCAAGUCGAGCGAACAGACGAGGAUCUUGCUCCUCUGACGUUAGCGGCGGACGGGUGAGUAACACGUGGAUAACCUACCUAUAAGACUUGGAUAACUUCGGGAAACCGGAGCUAAUACCGGAUAAUAUAUUGAACCGCAUGGUUCAAUAGUGAAAGACGGUUUUGCUGUCACUUAUAGAUGUAUCCGCGCCGCAUUAGCUAGUUGGUAAGGUAACGGCUUACCAAGGCAACGAUGCGUAGCCGACCUGAGAGGGUGAUAGGCCACACGGGAAGUGAGACACGGUCCAGACUCCUACGGGAGGCAGCAGUAGGGAAUCUUCCGCAGUGGGCGAAAGCAUGACGGAGCAACGCCGCGUGAGUGAUGAAGGUCUUGGGAUCGUAAAACUCUGUUAUUGGGGAAGAACAAAUGUGAAAGUAACUAUGCACGGCUUGACGGUACCUAAUCAAAAAGCCACGGCUAACUACGUG